This 491-nucleotide ribosomal RNA is filed under the name uncultured bacterium. Its description in RNAcentral is "partial 16S ribosomal RNA". It matches the Rfam family "Bacterial small subunit ribosomal RNA", at positions 29 to 506 of the family's 1533-position model. The record is from RNAcentral.
AGUGAACGCUGGCGGUAGGCCUAACACAUGCAAGUCGAACGGCGGCACAGUAAGAGCUUGCUCUUACGGGUGGCGAGUGGCGGACGGGUGAGGAAUACAUCGGAAUCUACUUUUUCGUGGGGGAUAACGUAGGGAAACUUACGCUAAUACCGCAUACGACCUACGGGUGAAAGCAGGGGAUCUUCGGACCUUGCGCGAUUGAAUGAGCCGAUGUCGGAUUAGCUAGUUGGCGGGGUAAAGGCCCACCAAGGCGACGAUCCGUAGCUGGUCUGAGAGGAUGAUCAGCCACACUGGAACUGAGACACGGUCCAGACUCCUACGGGAGGCAGAAGUGGGGAAUAUUGGACAAGGGGCGCAAGCCUGAUCCAGCCAUACCGCGUGGGUGAAGAAGGCCUUCGGGUUGUAAAGCCCUUUUGUUGGGAAAGAAAAGCAGCAGGUUAAUACCCCGCUGUUCUGACGGAACCCAAAGAAUAAGCACCGGCUAACUUCGU